CGUGGACGAAUUUUCUAGCACAACUUCAACAGCAAUUUUAUAUACCAGUUUUAUUUAUAUGUUUGAAUGGGAAACUGAUCGUUUACGGACUAUUUUGUGAUCAAAGUGAAAAACUGGUCUCAAAAGUUGUGCGACUAACUUCGGGCUAAAUACUGUUCGAAUCUCAUAGAGUCACAGUUAUUUACAGGUUUUGCAGCACGUUGAUCUCAACAAUUUUUGAGGUUUGAAGAAGAAAAUUAACGGUUUGUUUUCUGUUUAAUGUCGAUUGUGACGAAAUUUUGGCACAACUCUCUGAAACCUCUGUAGUUAACUCUGUCUUAAUGAACUUUAGACACUGUUUUGCUCGAAGGGCUCUGCACAACAUCGACAACAUCAGUUUUGGACUUCUGAAGAAAAAAAUGAACGUUUAGGCAGUGUCGUGCCCAAAGGUCUCGGCGCAACAUUGACAACAAUAGUAAUCGAUUGCUGAAGAAGAAAAUGCUCGUUUCAGUGCCUGUUUAAUCCCGAAAGAGAAGAAAUAGGAGCACAAUGAAAAUGAUCGUAUAAGCAAGUGUGUAACGCCGAAACUGAAAAAAUGACGAACAGCGAGCCGAAAACGAUCUAAGAAUUGUCCCAAUGAAUUUCGGACAGUGGCGUGCUCAAAGAGCUCGGCACAACCGCAAUUUUCCAAUCUUUGAGAAAUAAAAUGAAGUAUUAAUGCCCAACGUAAAUAAAUUGGAGAACAAUAA
This is a long non-coding RNA of Dendroctonus ponderosae (mountain pine beetle), 728 nucleotides long. RefSeq lists it as uncharacterized. The record is from RefSeq and is a predicted model, not a curated record. The transcript has 2 exons. Lineage: Eukaryota; Metazoa; Arthropoda; Insecta; Coleoptera; Curculionidae.